GAUGAACGCUGGCGGCGUGCCUAAUACAUGCAAGUCGAGCGAACAGACGAGGAGCUUGCUCCUCUGACGUUAGCGGCGGACGGGUGAGUAACACGUGGAUAACCUACCUAUAAGACUGGGAUAACUUCGGGAAACCGGAGCUAAUACCGGAUAAUAUAUUGAACCGCAUGGUUCAAUAGUGAAAGACGGUUUUGCUGUCACUUAUAGAUGGAUCCGCGCCGCAUUAGCUAGUUGGUAAGGUAACGGCUUACCAAGGCAACGAUGCGUAGCCGACCUGAGAGGGUGAGCGGCCACACUGGAACUGAGACACGGUCCAGACUCCGACGGGAGGCAGCAGUAGGGAAUCUUCCGCAAUGGGCGAAAGCCUGACGGAGCAACGCCGCGUGAGUGAUGAAGGUCUUCGGAUCGUAAAACUCUGUUAUUAGGGAAGAACAAAUGUGUAAGUAACUAUGCACGUCUUGACGGUACCUAAUCAGAAAGCCACGGCUAACUACGUG
Molecule: ribosomal RNA, 497 nt
Filed under: uncultured bacterium
Lineage: Bacteria
Description: partial 16S ribosomal RNA
Rfam family: Bacterial small subunit ribosomal RNA
Source: RNAcentral